AAAUGAAGAGGCUCAGAAGUUCUUAAAACUCAUACAUGAGAAUAUCAGAGGUGACCACACGUGCUCUUUUGCCUGGGGAUGGCUCUGGUUUAUACCGUGUGUACUGGUGUCAUUAUUAAUCUGGCUCCUCUUCGCUGUCCAGAGUGACUGUCUGCUUCCCUGGCGCUCUUCUGCAACCUGGUAGUGUUCAAUGACCGUGGGAUCUCUGGACGGUGCUGUGUACAACAUGCUGUGGACCGAGGGCCUCAAAGUUCAAUGGGGACUAAGACUUCCUAACAUCUCAGUGACCCCCCGCCUACAGAUAUAAGAAACUCAGCUCGGAAUAUACGUGUUUAUGGAUGACGACUGACUGUGCCUAUCCUGUCCUUCGGACUUCAGCUCAAUCCUAAUCCCUUUCAGAGAAGUAUCACUUGACAUCUCAAAAGCAGUAAAACCCUCUUUGGCACUUGUGAC
Molecule: long non-coding RNA, 453 nt
Organism: Canis lupus familiaris (dog)
Lineage: Eukaryota; Metazoa; Chordata; Mammalia; Carnivora; Canidae
Exons: 5
Source: RefSeq, a predicted model, not a curated record